GACAGAGGGUGCUAGCGUUGUUCGGAAUGACUGGGCGUAAAGGGCGCGUAGGCUGCUUUUUAAGUCAGGCGUGAAAGCCCCGGGCUCAACCUGGGAACUGCGUUUGAUACUGGAAGGCUUGAGUGCGGAAGAGGAGAGUGGAAUUCCUAGUGUAGAAGUGAAAUUCGUAGAUAUUAGGAGGAACACCAGAGGCGAAGGCGACUCUCUGGUCCGCAACUGACGCUGAGGCGCGAAAGCGUGGGGAGCAAACAGG
Molecule: ribosomal RNA, 253 nt
Filed under: uncultured bacterium
Lineage: Bacteria
Description: partial 16S ribosomal RNA
Rfam family: Bacterial small subunit ribosomal RNA
Source: RNAcentral